Molecule: ribosomal RNA, 368 nt
Filed under: uncultured organism
Description: partial 16S ribosomal RNA
Rfam family: Bacterial small subunit ribosomal RNA
Source: RNAcentral
GGAGGGGGCUAGCGUUGCUCGGAAUUACUGGGCGUAAAGGGCGCGCAGGCGGAACAUCAAGUCAGGCGUGAAAGCCCCGGGCUUAACCUGGGAAGUGCGCUUGAGACUGGUGAUCUAGAGUCCGGGAGAGGGUGGUGGAAUUCCCAGUGUAGAGGUGAAAUUCGUAGAUAUUGGGAAGAACACCAGUGGCGAAGGCGGCCACCUGGACCGGUACUGACGCUGAGGCGCGAAAGCGUGGGGAGCAAACAGGAUUAGAUACCCUGGUAGUCCACGCCGUAAACGAUGUGUGCUAGACGUCGGGCAGCAUGCUGUUCGGUGUCGCAGCUAACGCAUUAAGCACACCGCCUGGGAGUACGGCCGCAAGGUUA